This 685-nucleotide ribosomal RNA is filed under the name Stichotrichia sp. 1 bLdG1. Its description in RNAcentral is "SSU rRNA". It matches the Rfam family "Eukaryotic small subunit ribosomal RNA", at positions 403 to 1107 of the family's 1831-position model. The record is from RNAcentral. Lineage: Eukaryota; Ciliophora; Spirotrichea.
CGGGCUACCACAUCUAAGGAAGGCAGCAGGCGCGUAAAUUACCCAAUCCUGACUCAGGGAGGUAGUGACAAGAAAUAACGGACCGAAGCCUAUGUUUCGGGAUUGCAAUGAGUAGAAUUUAAACCCCUUUACGAGGAUCAAUUGGAGGGCAAGUCUGGUGCCAGCAGCCGCGGUAAUUCCAGCUCCAAUAGCGUAUAUUAAAGUUGUUGCAGUUAAAAAGCUCGUAGUUGGAUUUCUGGAGGGGUGCCAAUGUCCGAUUGUUUCGUGUGCAGCGGCGCCCUUCCAUCCUUCUGUUAACGUUUCUGAUAUUCAUUUAUUGGUCUCGGGCUCAGAUAUUUUACCUUGAGAAAAUUAGAGUGUUCCAGGCAGGCUUGCGCCGGAAUACAUUAGCAUGGAAUAAUAGAAUAGGACUUUAGUCUCCUUUGUUGGUUUGAGGGACUGAAGUAAUGAUUAAUAGGGAUAGUUGGGGGCAUUAGUAUUUAAUUGUCAGAGGUGAAAUUCUCGGAUUUGUUAAAGACUAACUUAUGCGAAAGCAUUUGCCAAGGAUGUUUUCAUUAAUCAAGAACGAAAGUUAGGGGAUCAAAGACGAUCAGAUACCGUCCUAGUCUUAACCAUAAACUAUGCCGACUAGGGAUCGGAGGCGCGCCUUAUCCGCCUUCGGCACCUUAUGAGAAAUCAAAGUCUU